This 233-nucleotide ribosomal RNA is filed under the name uncultured bacterium. RNAcentral's name for it is "partial 16S ribosomal RNA". It matches the Rfam family "Bacterial small subunit ribosomal RNA", at positions 15 to 243 of the family's 1533-position model. The record is from RNAcentral.
GAUCCUGGCUCAGGACGAACGCUGGCGGCGCGCCUAACACAUGCAAGUCGAACGAGAGAUGAGGAGCUUGCUCUUCAAAUCGAGUGGCGAACGGGUGAGUAACGCGUGAGGAACCUGCCUCAAAGAGGGGGACAACAGUUGGAAACGACUGCUAAUACCGCAUAAGCCCACGGCUCGGCAUCGAGCAGAGGGAAAAGGAGUGAUCCGCUUUGAGAUGGCCUCGCGUCCGAUAG